UACAGAGGUGGCAAGCGUUGUUCGGAAUUACUGGGCGUAAAGGGCGCGUAGGCGGUCUGGUCAGUCCCUUGUGAAAUCCCCCGGCUCAACUGGGAGAGGUCCUUGGAUACUGGCAGACUUGAGGGAGGUAGAGGAGAGUGGAAUUCCCGGUGUAGUGGUGAUAUGCGUAGAUAUCGGGAGGAACACCAGUGGCGAAGGCGGCUCUCUGGGCCUUACCUGACGCUGAGACGCGAAAGCGUGGGGAGCGAACCGG
This 253-nucleotide ribosomal RNA is filed under the name uncultured bacterium. RNAcentral's name for it is "partial 16S ribosomal RNA". It matches the Rfam family "Bacterial small subunit ribosomal RNA", at positions 524 to 776 of the family's 1533-position model. The record is from RNAcentral.